RNAcentral lists this ribosomal RNA (158 nucleotides) under Pezizomycotina sp. UASWS0051. RNAcentral's name for it is "5.8S ribosomal RNA". It matches the Rfam family "5.8S ribosomal RNA". From Rfam's summary of the family: 5.8S ribosomal RNA (5.8S rRNA) is a component of the large subunit of the eukaryotic ribosome. It is transcribed by RNA polymerase I as part of the 45S precursor that also contains 18S and 28S rRNA. Lineage: Eukaryota; Fungi; Ascomycota. The record is from RNAcentral.
CAACUUUCAACAAUGGAUCUCUUGGCUCUGGCAUCGAUGAAGAACGCAGCGAAAUGCGAUAAGUAGUGUGAAUUGCAGAAUUCAGUGAAUCAUCGAAUCUUUGAACGCACAUUGCGCCCCUUGGUAUUCCAUGGGGCAUGCUUGUUCGAGCGUCAUCU